RNAcentral lists this ribosomal RNA (502 nucleotides) under Botryotinia sp. YLM8. RNAcentral's name for it is "eukaryotic LSU rRNA". The stretch from base 196 to 349 matches the Rfam family "5.8S ribosomal RNA". Lineage: Eukaryota; Fungi; Ascomycota; Leotiomycetes; Helotiales; Sclerotiniaceae. The record is from RNAcentral.
AAAAAUCGUAACAAGGUUUCCGUAGGUGAACCUGCGGAAGGAUCAUUACAGAGUUCAUGCCCGAAAGGGUAGACCUCCCACCCUUGUGUAUUAUUACUUUGUUGCUUUGGCGAGCUGCCUUUGGGCCUUGUAUGCUCGCCAGAGAAUACCAAAACUCUUUUUAUUAAUGUCGUCUGAGUACUAUAUAAUAGUUAAAACUUUCAACAACGGAUCUCUUGGUUCUGGCAUCGAUGAAGAACGCAGCGAAAUGCGAUAAGUAAUGUGAAUUGCAGAAUUCAGUGAAUCAUCGAAUCUUUGAACGCACAUUGCGCCCCUUGGUAUUCCGGGGGGCAUGCCUGUUCGAGCGUCAUUUCAACCCUCAAGCUUAGCUUGGUAUUGAGUCUAUGUCAGUAAUGGCAGGCUCUAAAAUCAGUGGCGGCGCCGCUGGGUCCUGAACGUAGUAAUAUCUCUCGUUACAGGUUCUCGGUGUGCUUCUGCCAAAACCCAAAUUUUUCUAUGGUGA